ACAUGAAGAUUUUAUCUGUUCUUUUCCUCAGAACUUUGUGCCACAGAGGAAAACUCACAGGAGGCAAAUAUUCCCAAUGGGAAUGUGUUGUUCUUUGAAGAAUCCUAUCUGAGCUAUUUUGUCUUACAGGGGGCAAAUAUUGAAUGUGGUAACCCAGAAUGCAUCUCGUUGGCCUACGACCAACCAAGAGCGGGUAAGUGGAGCUGCUCGCUGCCAGCAGUCAUCCUCCUUUUCUUCCCUCAGAAAUCCAGGGUCUGUGUCCUGGAAAUGGAGAAAUCUACCCCAGUUCUUCAAGUGCUUGCACGUGUGCUGAGCUUGAGCCCCUGAAUCAUCCAUUAAUGCAGGGCAUACACAGCCCUGUUUGGCACAUCAAGGUAGAACAAGCCAUGCUCUGGUGUCACUGGACAGUUUCACUCUACAUGUCUAGAUUCAGCAAGAAGUACUUCAUCUCUCUUUUUUUAAAAAUUUUAUUUUUACUAAAACGCUUCAGAAAAUCUAGUUCUGUCUUCAAAUCACUGCAUAGACAAGAAGCUGUCAGAAUCUCUGUUUCACAGGUGAGGAAAACCAGUCCCAUCAAGAUUAAAAUCCCAAUUCAAGGAAAAGCAGAAACUUCAGCACAUCUUUUAAUUUUCCUGUGAUUUUGGCAUAAACUAUCAUGAAUGGUUUCUCUGGGAUGCUGUCAGAGGUGAAAAUAGAAUAUGCUUUGAGUUGCAGACAGUACCUCAGCCGCAGCACUGCGGUGUGUGGACACAGGAGUUUUUCUCUUUACACUUGAUAAAAAAUGUGACGCAUGGGAUGGUCACACAGGAGAGAGAUUUAUUUCUGUAGUUGGUUAUUCAAUUCAGUGGUUCAUAUACUGUGGUACUGAAGCUCAUUUUGGCGUGGAGAUCCAUGCAGCUCCGAACUUUUCCUUCAGCUUUGUAGGUUUUCACGGAAGUGUGUGGUGUCUUUUCUUUGGUCAGGUGCCUUGAAAAUAAACUGGGGGAAAUAAAUAGGCA
RNAcentral lists this long non-coding RNA (998 nucleotides) under Manacus vitellinus (golden-collared manakin). Its description in RNAcentral is "lncRNA (ENSMVIG00005019049.1)". The record is from RNAcentral. Lineage: Eukaryota; Metazoa; Chordata; Aves; Passeriformes; Pipridae.